UUCCUCCACCAAACGUCCACCACAGUGAUACAAAGUCAUUGAGUGGCCGUACAAAAACCUCUCAGUGUAGAGAGACACGGCUCUCUGACUGUGACACAAACAAACUCAACAUCAACACUUCCUGUUUUUAAAAGAAUGAACUAUUUCAUAUCAUAUUGAUCAAACAGUGACACAAUUGUUCAGAAUUAGUCACAUUUUGACAGAUAGAAGUUCACAUCUGUCUAAAAGUCAAAGUGGAUUUGUUCUCACAUUGAAUGAAACAAGACAGAAGACGUUCUUAAAGAAAAUGUAUCCACAGUCAUCAAACCAAAUCCACCUUAAAAUGAUGACUGACUGUUAAUCAAUACUCUGAUAGUGAUUGAUCCAUUGAUAAACAGCAUGAUCAGAGUAAUCCAAGUCCCUGUUGGAGUCAGUCAGAGCAUUUCCAUAGAGAGCCACUUUGCAUCAGCAGCACCAUGCUCCAGUGCUCUGGGAGAGUUUAUAGUCCUGAGAGUUGAACACUGGAUGACUGACAGCUGUCCUUCAUGACAACAGAAGCCACAGAAAUCCUCCUCAUCAAAAACAUGACUUUGAUCUCCGUCCUCAUCUGGACUCUCCUCUGCUGCUGCUUCACAGAGUCCAGAGGCCAGGUCACAGUGACUCAGCCUGGAGCAGUGAGCUCUGCUGUGGGAGGCUCCGUCACCAUCAACUGUAGGACCAGUCAGAAUGUAUAUAAUGGAAACCAUUUAGCCUGGUACCAACAGAAAGAUGGAAAAACUCCUAAACUGCUCAUUUACUAUGCUAGCACUCGACCAUCAGGGAUUCCAGCUCGUUUUACAGGCAGUGGAUCAAACUCUGACUUCACUCUGACCAUCAGUGGAGUUCAGACUGAAGAUGCAGCAGUUUACUACUGUCAGAGUCUUCACUCUAUCAACAGUCAGUGGGUGUUCACACAGUGAAAAAGCAUUGUACAAAAACCUCCCUCAGUCAGAAACUGAAUUGACUGCUGCAGCUGGAAGCUACUGCAGAGACUGAUACACUUCACUGAACAUGUAACAAGUCCAAUGACAAAAAAAUAAUUUUGGUGUAAACGAGAAGAGACAAGUACUUGGAGGUUUUUAAAAGUCUGUUGGACUGAAUGUAUCAGAUUCUGGAAAGGCAAAGUUUAAAUUUGGGGUGUUUGUGACACUCAGGAAAAUGUCACCAUUUUACAGCCAUUUCUUUUUUAAUGCUUAAUGAUUGUUUUGUCACCUGUUACCUUAAAAUACGAAAGCGCUUUAUUUUGAUCCAAGUGUCACAGUCUUUUGGAGGAUCAGAGGUCUACAUCCAGACAGAAAGGUGUCCAGUGAAACAUUGAAGCAGUUUUGCUUCUGUAUCUGUAUGAAAGACAUCUGUUACAAACUCCUCAGUACUGGUGAGACCAAACUUUUGAAAAAAGGAGUGCAAAGUUGUUCAUUAAAUCUUUAAAAUCUA
Non-coding RNA from Larimichthys crocea (large yellow croaker), 1452 nucleotides. The record is from the annotation of a RefSeq genome assembly. Lineage: Eukaryota; Metazoa; Chordata; Actinopteri; Sciaenidae.